AGAACGAACGCUGGCGGCAUGCCUAAUACAUGCAAGUCGAACGAACUCUUCGGAGUUAGUGGCGCACGGGUGCGUAACGCGUGGGAAUCUGCCCCUUGGUUCGGAAUAACAGUUGGAAACGACUGCUAAUACCGGAUGAUGACGAAAGUCCAAAGAUUUAUCGCCAAGGGAUGAGCCCGCGUAGGAUUAGCUAGUUGGUGAGGUAAAGGCUCACCAAGGCAACGAUCCUAGCUGGUCUGAGAGGAUGAUCAGCCACACUGGACUGAGACGACGGCCCAGACUCCUACGGGAGGCAGCAGUAGGGAUAUGGACAAGUGGGACGAAGCCUGAUCCAAGCAAGUGCCGACGUAGAGUGAGUGAA
Molecule: ribosomal RNA, 361 nt
Filed under: uncultured soil bacterium
Lineage: Bacteria
Description: bacterial SSU rRNA
Rfam family: Bacterial small subunit ribosomal RNA
Source: RNAcentral